Molecule: unclassified non-coding RNA, 280 nt
Filed under: Helotiales sp.
Lineage: Eukaryota; Fungi; Ascomycota; Leotiomycetes; Helotiales
Description: partial contains 5.8S ribosomal RNA, internal transcribed spacer 2, and large subunit ribosomal RNA
Rfam family: 5.8S ribosomal RNA (bases 1-71)
Source: RNAcentral
GUGAGUCAUCGAAUCUUUGAACGCACAUUGCGCCCCUUGGUAUUCCGAGGGGCAUGCCUGUUCGAGCGUCAUUACAACCCUCAAGCACUGCUUGGUCUUGGGCUCCGCCGCUAACCCGGCGGGCCUUAAAAUGAGUGGCGGCGCCCUCAGGCUCUGAGCGUAGUAAAUUUCCUCGCUACGGAGUCCUGGCGACGGUGGCCAUCAACCCCCAACUCUCUAAGUUUGACCUCGGAUCAGGUAGGGAUACCCGCUGAACUUAAGCAUAUCAAUAAGCGGAGGA